This 1323-nucleotide ribosomal RNA is filed under the name Paenarthrobacter nitroguajacolicus. RNAcentral describes it as "partial 23S ribosomal RNA". It matches the Rfam family "Bacterial large subunit ribosomal RNA", at positions 761 to 2065 of the family's 2925-position model. The record is from RNAcentral. Lineage: Bacteria; Bacillati; Actinomycetota; Actinomycetes; Micrococcales; Micrococcaceae.
AUCAACUGGAGGACCGAACCGACUAAUGUUGAAAAAUUAGCGGAUGACUUGUGGCUAGGGGUGAAAGGCCAAUCAAACCUGGAGAUAGCUGGUUCUCCCCGAAAGCUAUUUAGGUAGCGCCUCGGACGAAUACUACUGGGGGUAGAGCACUGUUAAGGCUAGGGGGUCAUCCCGACUUACCAACCCUUUGCAAACUCCGAAUACCAGUAAGUACUAUCCGGGAGACACACGGCGGGUGCUAACGUCCGUCGUGGAGAGGGAAACAACCCAGACCGCCAGCUAAGGUCCCAAAGUAUAGCUAAGUGGGAAACGAUGUGGGAAGGCUCAGACAGCCAGGAUGUUGGCUUAGAAGCAGCCAUCAUUUAAAGAAAGCGUAAUAGCUCACUGGUCGAGUCGGCCUGCGCGGAAGAUGUAACGGGGCUAAGCUAUACACCGAAGCUGCGGCUACGUACCUUAGGGUAUGUGGGGUAGGGGAGCGUUCUGUAAGCCGUUGAAGGUGGUCUGUAAGGGCUGCUGGAGGUAUCAGAAGUGCGAAUGCUGACAUGAGUAACGAUAAAGGGAGUGAAAAACUCCCUCGCCGGAAGACCAAGGGUUCCUGUCCAACGUUAAUCGGGGCAGGGUAAGUCGACUCCUAAGGCGAGGCCGAAAGGCGUAGUCGAUGGGAAACGGGUUAAUAUUCCCGUACUUCUUACAAUUGCGAUGGGGGGACGGAGAAGGCUAGGUGGGCCUGGCGACGGUUGUCCAGGUUCAAGUAUGUAGGCGGGUGGUUUAGGUAAAUCCGGACCACUAUUAACGCUGAGAUACGAUGUCGAGCUACUACGGUAGUGAAGUCAUUGAUGCCAUGCUUCCAGGAAAAGCCUCUAAGCUUCAGAUUGUAAGGAAUCGUACCCCAAACCGACACAGGUGGUCGGGUAGAGAAUACCAAGGCGCUUGAGAGAACUCGGGUGAAGGAACUAGGCAAAAUGGUACCGUAACUUCGGGAGAAGGUACGCUCUUAUCAGUGAAGUCCCUUGCGGAUGGAGCAGACGAGAGUCGCAGAUACCAGGUGGCUGCAACUGUUUAUUAAAAACACAGCACUGUGCAAAAUCGUAAGAUGACGUAUACGGUGUGACGCCUGCCCGGUGCCGGAAGGUUAAUUGAUGGGGUUAGUCUUCGGACGAAGCUCUUGAUCGAAGCCCCGGUAAACGGCGGCCGUAACUAUAACGGUCCUAAGGUAGCGAAAUUCCUUGUCGGGUAAGUUCCGACCUGCACGAAUGGCGUAAUGAUGGCCACGCUGUCUCCACCCGAGACUCAGUGAAAUUGAAAUCGCUGUGAAGAUGCAGU